RNA transcript from Cornus florida, 4349 nucleotides. It is a transcript of the gene named large ribosomal subunit protein P3-like, with no coding region annotated. The record is from RefSeq and is a predicted model, not a curated record. NCBI's taxonomy places the organism in Eukaryota, Viridiplantae, Streptophyta, Magnoliopsida, Cornales, Cornaceae. The transcript has 8 exons.
AGGGAAGUCGAUGUAAUAAGUGUAAAAUGCUCCACUCAAAUGUAAUUUGACAAAACCCUUAAAAAAAAAACGGAAAAAAAAAAAAAACGUAAACCUCCCAAAUCGAUUGGGAGAGAGGACGAGACUUCCAGCGACUUUCUCGGUUGAGUGAAAACUUUUAUUACCCAUCCUCGUCUUCCAUCUCCAUCUCCAUCUCCAUCUCGCCCCUCUCUGUGUGGAACGUUGGGCUCGAUCUCCUCAAGAAAAAUUUUCAGGUCGCAGAUUGGAGAUCACAACAAAUUUUUUUUGCUCUCUCCCCUCGUUAUUGCUAUGGUUGGAUGAGUUUCCUGACUCCGCUUCUUUGUCUUCAAGGAGUCCUUUUCUUCCAUCACUAAUCAAGUUCUCCAGAGUGAAGCAUAGGAGGAUGAUGGAUACAAUAUUUUUACUUCUUCGCUGAAGUAGAAGAAAUUCUGAGGAGGAAAAAACUAGGGCUACAGUACUCCUGAUUUGGGUUUUCUGAAAUUGUUUUGCUUUGGCCGAACUUUGGUUUUUCAAUUAUUUUGUUUUUGGUCGUGGUUGGAUUUUUCUCUCUCCGAAUUUCUGUUCAUCUAAUUUUGAAUCUUUUAGGGGAGAGCUUUUAUCCAUUUCCUCUUCAAUAAACCCGAACCAACUUCUCUCUCAUCAGAUUCUCUCUCUGUAUGUGCGUGCGUGUUGUGACAAUAGGCUAUGGAUUAACAAUUUCUUGUCAUGGGUAAGAUAGAGAAGAAGCAAGGAAGUUGUUCGAUGGAAUGUCUCAGAGUGACAUUGGCCCGGUUUGGUUUGCACUCUCGGAAUUGUUUUUGAGAACAAUUUUUCAGAAAAUCAGAAUAUAGAAUAAUUCUUAAUUUUUUUAAUUUAAAAUUCUGCAUGGUAAGAAAAACUGUAGAAUAAUUUUCAAAGAACAAAAUUUUUGUAUUAAAUCAGCACACGUCAUAUGCAAAUAUCCAAACUCUUAAAUCUUAAAUACCAACAUAAAUAAAAAUAUUAUGAACAAUUUGUUCCAUCUCAUUGAUCAAGAACAAGUAACAAACAAGGCCACACAUUCCAAUUUAAAAUUAACAAUUUUUUUUUCAGUGAAUGUGUUUAUUCCAUGAGUACCGAUGGUGCCCAUGCAUAAUCAUUUGAACGUAAGAAAUAAUAAGGAAUUGGGUAAGUUUGGGUAUGGGUCAAGUUGAUUCCCUUUUGUCUUUGGUUCUAUAAAAGUAAACCUCCCAAAUCGGUUGUGAGAGAGCACCAGACUUCCAGCGACAUUCUAGGGCCCGGCGAAGCUGCAGAAAGGAAGCUCAUCGAUUGUGUCCCCAGAUGACUUAUGUCGCUGGACGAACAAGAUUCAGCGCUUGGGUCGGAAGGUGUGGAUGGGCUGCCCCCUCUUAUUGAAGCUUUAGAAACUCUGAGCCACAAUGUUCAGUGGAUCCCUAAAGAUUCUAUUUUCAAGUUGAUUAUCAUGUUUUUCCUGCCGGAAAUGAAAAAACAAUUGGAGGUUAUUAGGUUUCGAGUAUCAGACAUGGAGAAAAAGGACGUUCAGGACGUCAUUUGCCAUUAUGCAGAGGAAGGAAAGCUCAUAGAGUUGGCUGCUUUGCUUUCGAUAUAUUCACGUUCUUUUUUCUCAUCAGUUUCUCUAGCUUUUCAUGUUAAUGUUGGUGACCCAAAGUUAAGUAGAAUGGAGACAUUACGUGAACAGAUUGUCUCUAUGAUCAUGGCAUAUAAUGAAGAGGAGCGGUGGAUAUUAAUGGGCAGUGGUAGCAGUAAAUUGGCUCAGGCAUGCAAGGACAAAAAGAGGUUGAUGAUGUCGGUGAUGUUGUUGCUUGAGAUCUAUGAAAGGAUCGGUCUUAAGAUAGAAUAUUACCUGCACGAGGCGCAUGCCACUGUAUGUUAACAAUACUUACUCAGUUCCUCUGCUCUCAUGAUAUUGAUGACAUUGGUGCUAAUCGUGCCCAAUAACGUUAAUGUUUGUUGACCUCGUGCAAUACCGUGGAGAGGUUGGCCAGAGCAGGGUUUAAUAAUGGCAACAUAUGUUUCAAGACUUCUCAAGAUUUCAAACUUCCAAUCACGAAUGAACUUUUUCACGUUUUUAAACAUCAGGCCUGGUUUCUCAUGUCAUCUACUUGUAGUUUAUAUAGUCUUUUGUUUCAUUCUUGGCUUGGAUUUGUUUGCUAUUGUGGUUUGUAAAAUGUUUACCCUGAAUUCUUAAUAGCCAAAGCUAAUGGAUAUCUUCUUCUUUUGUUCCAUAUCUGGACGUAAAUUUCAUGGUUUGUUGGUGAAAAUUUCUUGGAUGAGCGGCGAGUGAAGCUGUCAGGUAUGGAUUACGAAUAUGAAUUUGAACAAAAAAAAACCUCCUCAAUGUUCGUGAAAAUUCACAGUCUUCCAAUAACAAAGAAGCGAACCACUAGAAUGCCACUUCAGCAGCAACGGAGGUCAAUCUCGACACACUCUUCACAGGACAAACCAGGUUUAUUUUCUGUGGUGCAGUCAUUUUAUAUGUCACCGAGGUAUGAAAUAAGCUUCAGUCCAAAGUUUUGCGCAACUACCGAAGCUCAAACAACAUUCCAAGUGAUCGAAAAACACGUGCCAGGUCUUGUGUUAAGGAAAAGAUUGCCCUCUUUUCUAUCAGCCAUGAAGAGGGUUAUUUGAUAUCCCAAGUAACAUCUUUUGAGGUUGUCUCUGGCCUAAAAUUGAACGUGGGGAAGAGCUCCUUGGUUCUGGUGGGGGAGGUGCAGGACAUUGCCAAUCUUGCUGCGGUGCUAGGGUGUGGGGUUUCCUCUUUCCCCAUUUCUUAUUUGGGUUUGCCUUUGGGUUGGCCGUCGAGAAGGGUGGGGGCUGGACCCUGUGAUCGAGAGGUUCGAGAAGAGGCAUGCCGAGUGGAAGAAGUAAUAUCUUUUUAAGGGUGGGAAGGUUACCCUCAUGAAAAGCACGUUGUCAAGCCUUCCUAUAUAUUUCCUCUCUUUUUCAGAUUCCAAUUUCUAUGGCUGAAAGGAUUGAGAAGGUCAGCGGAAUUUCCUUUGGGGUGGAUUGGGGGAUGAAUUCAACUAUCACCUUGUUCGAUGGGAGCAGGUGUGUAGACCUCUUCAGUUGGGAGGCUUGGGUAUCAUGAGGGUUAUCCUUUUCAAUAAGGCUUUGCUAGGGAAGUGGUUGUGUAGAUUUGGAGGUGAGCGCCAUUGGGUAUGGAGGACAGUCAUCUCUUGCCGUUUUGGGGAGGAAAGAGAUGUGUGGUGCUCCCGAGUGGUGAGAUCUUCCGAGCGUUGGUGUUUGGAAGUUUAUUCGAAAGGGUUAGGAUGAUUUCCAAACAUAUCAGAUUCAGAGUUUGAGAGGGCAACUCAGAUUUGGGAGGACAUAUGGUGUGGCGAGCGUUCGUUGGCUUUUUCGUUUCCCAGGCUCUUCAAGAUUGCCCUUGACAGGCAUGCUCGGGUGGCCGACUUUUAUUGGCUUGAUAGCGGGAGGAUCACUUGGGAUGUGCAUUUUCAGCGACAGUUUCAUGAUUGGGAUCUGGACGACAUUCCAGACUAGUUGGAUCCAAAGUUGUUAAAAUCCCGAUUCUUGAUCAUAGAAUCUUACGAUUCUACGAUCUCAAAUUGCCAAACUGAUCUCGAUCCCAUCUAAAAUCUCUGGGAAGUGGAAUCUUAGUAGAAUCUAUAAAGUCAGAAUUAGGAUCGUAAAAUCGCUUAGAAUCUUACGAUUCUAUCGAUUAUACUAAAUUGUGUUAUUUUGUUCUUCUUCCGAAUUUAUUUGGGCCUUCAAUUAAUUUUGGACUUAAUAAAUUUAAUUAUUUUAAAUAUAAGGUCCAACUCUUUAGCCUAAUUACAUUUAAAAAUAACGAAUGUCAAAUGUAAAGACGAUCACACUCUGAUUUUCAAAGGUAUGGUGCAAAAUUUCAAAAUUUUCCUAUAUUUUUUUAUUCUUCUUAAUUUCUCUUUUCUUCUCUCUUUUUCAGUACAAGGAACAAAAAUAAUAUUAUUUUCACCUAUUCUUCGUCAAUUUUGAAACAAAAAUAAAGAAAUACUUUUUUUUUCUGUUGUAGUGACCAUUUUCUGUAUUAAAUGUGACCAUAGGUUGAAAGCAUCAGUAUUUUGUUGUGAUUGUGGUCUGACUGUCCAAAAUAUAUGGUAAUGGGCUGCAUGAUUCUGAUACCCUAACUUGUAAGGAGGCAAGAGUUACGGAAAUAGUUGAAUGACUUGGGAUAAGGGACCUGCUCUGGUCCUCAUUCCACUUGAUUAAGUGCCUUUUGCUUGCUGAUGAUGUUUAUUUCAGUAUUAUUCAUGCAUUUCUCAUUGAGAACUGAGACCAUCCCUCUUUUUUAUGUAUGAUAUGCCAACUUCUUUUGUGUUUUUUUUUUU